Molecule: long non-coding RNA, 296 nt
Filed under: Capsicum annuum
Lineage: Eukaryota; Viridiplantae; Streptophyta; Magnoliopsida; Solanales; Solanaceae
Description: long non-coding RNA (CANN_LNC021044)
Source: RNAcentral
CCGGCUCCAAAGAGGGUAAGCAAGGAAAGGUAAAUAAGGCUCGAAGGGCUGACGAGGGAUUAAUGACAUUUAGUAGAAUGAUGGCCUUUCGUCAUCUCAACUUGAGAAUGUUAAGCACAAGUGUGUCAAAUAUAAUAUCUUUUGACUGAAUCGGCAUUGAUAGCUUUUUCUGUCAUUUUUCCAUCCAGAUCCGUAAGUUGCAAAGCCCCAUUUGAUAAUACUUGUCUGACUAUGUAUGGACCUUGCCAGUUUGGAGCAAACUUUCCUUUAGCCUCUUCUUGGUGUGGAAGGAUACA